CCACUCUUCCUUAUAUUGCACUGCUUAGCCUUCAGAUUUCAGAGAGUAUUACAUUGAAGUCUCUUUGACUCUGUUUCUCAUCAUUUUACCCAAACCAUGGUCAACAACUUCAAGAGAUGAUCUUAGUUCCCCGACCAGGGAUGGAACCCGUUCCUCUGCAGUGGAAGCAUGGCGUCUUAAGCACUGGACCGCCAGGGAAGUCCCAACAGCAAUUUUUUUAAACCACCUAAAAUUUAGAUGCUUCCAAAGAAUUCAAAUUAGGAUUCAUCAUAGCAUCACAUCCUUCAGAUUCAUAUUUUACUUGUUUAUGUUAAUGGUCAGUAAAUUAUUAAACUGUUUUUAUAUUUAUUUAUUUUAUUUAUUUAUUUUAUUUUUUGGCUGCAUCAGGUCUUAGUUGCAGUACAUGGGAUCUUUCAUUGCGGUGCAUGGUCUUUCCUCUAGUUUUGGUGCAUGGGCUCCAGAGUGCACGGCCUCUGUAGUUGUGGCAUGAGGGUUCCAGAGUGCAUAGGGUCUGUAGUUGAAGCAUGCAGGCUCUCUAGUUGUGGUGCGAAGGCUCAGUAGUUGCAGCAUGGGGUCAGUAGUUGUGGCAUGUGGGCUUAGUUGCCCCAUGGCAUGUGGGAUCUUAGCUCCCUGACCAGGGAUUGAACUGGCAUCGCCUGCAUUUCAAGACUGAUUCUUAACCACUGGACCACCAGGGAAGUCCCAGUCAAUAAAUUAUUAAAUAACAAAUGGUUAAUUCGAACUAGAGUUUAGGGGACAUAUAACUUUUGAUGAAGUACAGACUACUUAUCAUGAUUAUAUGCUAACAAAUAAAAUAUUUCUGGCAGGAUACACAGUCGUUGAUAACAGAACUUAACUCCUGUAUUAUAGAGGAUGGGGGAGUAAACAGAAGAAUGAGGAAAUAGCAUUUUAUGUAUAUGCACUUAAAUCUACUCAAAAUUUUCUAAACAAAAAGUCUAGGUUUUAUAGUACACAUUGAAAAAAUAAUCAGGAAAACACUGGUAAACCAAAACAAAAAUGUGUGUGGGGAUAUGUAUGAAAUUAAUCAAUACAUGCAAAUUAUAGAAAAAUAUUGGGAAUUAUAAUAAAGAGAAAUUACAUAAAUGAAUUUAAAUAAUAACUAGAUACAUCAUUUAAAUGGGAGUGAGCAUCACAAAGUUUGGGUAAUUACAAAAGAUCACAAAAUAUCUUUGAAUCCUGGACCAGUUGUGGUCACAUGUCUCAUCCCCAUUAAAAACUGCAGUCAUUCAUGAAAAAAAUCUAGUCUGUGUCCUGUCUUUUUCGGAGUGAUUUCUGUGGAAGGACACUUAGGGACUGAAUCAAACACAUCUUAUUUUCAGGGGAUGUGACAGGAAAAUCCCCCCACCCCCACCCAGCUCUGUGGCUUGAAUUUUGGAGGUCAGAUCAGACCAAGUUAUCACUGCUCAAAGAAUGAGUGGGGCGAAAUCGUUAGAAAUCCUCACAGAUCUGGAGCCAGUGGUGACUUUCAGGGAAACACUUAGACCUUAACACCAUUAUGCACCUUCAUUAUUACUUCCCUCUAAGCUUGGCAAUCUUUCAUUCAUUCUUUUAUCAAAUGAAGUGUUUAUUAUUUUGAAUGAGAGGUACCUUCUUUGCACUGAUCCCAGUAAUUUGCUGUAGACAUAAAAUUACUGAUAAAAUAAAGUGCAUCCUGUUCCCCAGAACCACUAAGAAAGAAGAUGGAGGUGUUCAGUUAUAUACUAAUCACAGAAAGUUUACAGAGACUAUUCAGAGUUCUCUGUAGUAACAGAACCGAUGUAUAUACAGGGAGAGAGAGAGACUUAAUUUAUUAUUUAUUUAUCUAUUUAUCUUUUCUCAGCGAUAACAGUGGUGAGAGAGAGACAUUUUAAGGAACUGGCUCACAAAAUGGUGGUGGAUGGCAAGUCCAAAACCUGCAGGGAAGGCUGGCAGGCUGGAGACCCUGGGAAUAGCAGAUGUUGCAGUCUGAAGACAGCUUAUAGGCAGAGUUCCCUCUGUAAGUGUCUGUGUUCUAAUCUCCUCCUAUUAUAGGGACAUCAGUCAUAUUGGGUUAGGGCCCACCCUAAUGAACUCACAGUAACUGAAUUACCUCUUUAAAGACCCUGUCUCCAAAUACAGGCUUAUUCAUAGGUCCUGGGGGUUAGGAUUUAAACAUAUGAAUUUGGUAGGGGGCAUGGGAGGACACAACUCGGCCCAUAAUACUUCAUACUCUGGCAUCACUGAAUUCAUGUCGUUCUCACAUAAAAAAUACAUUGACUCCAACCCACUUGCCCGCAAAGUCUUAACCCCUUGGAUCAUGCAUUACAUGCCCAUCAUAUCUUCAACAAAUAAUCAUCCAGCUACAGCCUUGAUGUUCUCUCAGGAGCAGGCUUCCCCAGUUUUUACAAGAGAGAUAGGCUUAGAAGUCCCCUAGUCUUCAAGUUCCUGUUCCUUUUUGCUUAACAAUUCCUGCUUCAGUUUCUCUCUCUCCUCUUGCAUGUACUGUGAACAGCAAGGAGAAACCAGGCCAUGCCUUCAAGAGCUUGCUUAAAAAUCUCAUGUCAGUAUCCAGGUUCAUCACUAACAGGUUCUACUUUCCACAAAACAUGAAAAUGCAGUUUGGCCAAGUUCUUUGCCACUAUAACAAUGAUUGCCUUUCCUCCCAUUUCAAAUAACAUGUUCCCACAUUUCUGUUUCAGCCCUCAUCAAAAGCAGCUUUAAUAUUUAUAUUUCUAGCACUCUUCUGUUUAUGAUGAUAUAUGUAUAUCUUUAAGAUGAUAGGAGCUUUUUCUACAGCUCUCCUUUUUUUCUCUCUGAGCCCUCUUCAGAAUCACCUUUAGCUUUCAUAUUUCAAUCAACAGUCUCUUCAGGGCAGUCUAGGCCUUUUCUAACAUGUUCUUCAAAACUCCUUCAGCUCUGCGUAUUACCCAGUUCCAAAGCCACUUGAGUAUGUGUAGGUAUUUGUCAUAGUAGCACCCCUCUUCCUGGUGCCAAAGUCUGUACUAGUUGGUGUUCUUCAGAGAAACAGAAUCAGUAGGGUGUGUGUGUGUGUGUGUGUGUGUGUGUGUGUGUGUGUGUGUGUGUACACAGUGUGGAGGCACAAUUCCUUCUAUCCUUGUCUGCACCCUUGUCAUCUUACAAUAUAUUGCAUGUUUUAUUUAUUAUUUGUUUUGUCUGAUGUAUAUCUUUUUUGUUGCUAGUAUUGGCUUAAUAGAGACAGGUCCUUUACCAGAUAUUUUUCUUCCUGAUACCUCUUACAGACACGAAUAAUGUUUGACACACAUCAGAUGCUUAACACAUGCCUAUUGAAGCAGUGAAUAAAAGUAUACCCAUUUUGUUCAUGUUCCUUUUUAAGAUUCUGUAAGUUCUUCCUACUUCUCUCUUUUCUUCUUCUUCCAGGCUGCAGUAGUGCUCAGAAAUCACAAAUGAAAAAUAAUAAUAUUUUCUAGGUAAAACACUUGGGUUGGCGAGAAACACAGCCCAUGAAGCCCAUCCUUUGUCUUAGCUGUCUUCUGUCACUUUUUAGACUGUGUCUUGCCUAUCAAUUUUACCUGAUCUUUUCCAGCCAUUUCAGAUAUGUUAUGGCCUGGGUUCCUGGCUUCUCCCCCUCCUCAAUAAAUUACUUAAUCACUACUAAUAGUUCUCAAUAAUUUGAUCAUUUUUAAAUGUUUCUCUAAGAUCAUCUCAAGUCCCCAUGCUCACACUGCCACUGCAUUUACGUGUGAAAUAAAAAUUCCUUCCCAGCAAGUACAUGACGUGAUAUUGUCCCAAACCUUUAUUUACCGGGUAAAAUGACCCCUGUGUACAUGUGCAAAGAUAGGAAUUUGGAAAUUUUUGGCUUACGGUGGUAUUUAUGCCAUGACAUUGAAUGAGAUCACUAAUAAAAUGUGUGCAGAUUGUGAGGAGAGAUGACUAUUGAUUAAACUCUCAGGAAUUCCAUUACUAAGUGGAUGAGAGAAAAUGAAGAAUCAGCAAAUUUAAGUUAAAAAUGCAAAAGUUAUCAAUGAUGUCAAGAGCUACUGAGAGGAAGUUUAACCAAAAUCUUACGUAUCACUGUUAUGUUUAGGAGUUUGCUCAUGACAUUGGUUUUGUGAGGAUAAAACUGCACAUAGAAUGAGUGAAGAAUUACCUAAGAGUUGAGAUAAUAGAAUAAGAGAGGGAAAACACUCUAAAAAAGUGGAGUUGUAGACACUUCCCUAGUGGUGCAGUGGUUUAGAAUCCGCCUGCCAAUGCAGGGGACACGGGUUCAAUCCCUGGUCCAGGAAGAUCCCAGGUGCUGCGGAAUAACUAAGCCCAUGUGCCACAACUACUGAGCCUGUGCUCUAGACCCUGCGAGCCACAACUACUGAGCCCACGUGCUGCAACUACUGAAGUCCGCACACUAGGGCCCGCGUGCCAAAACUACUGAGCCUGCCUGCCUAGAGCCCAUGCUCCAAAACAAGAGAAGCCACAGCAAUGAGAAGCCGGUGCACUGCAAUGAAGAGCAGACCCCACUCGCCACAACUAGAGGGAAAGCCUGCGUGCGGCAACGAAGACCUAACGCAGCCAAAAAAUAAAUUUAAAAAAAACAGUGGAGUUGCAAAGGGUGUGAGAAAUGGUAGAAUCAGAAAAUGUACUGGAUACAAGAGUGAAGUGUAAUUGUUUCAAGGUAUCCAAUAUUUAUCAAGUUAUUUUUAAGAGAUUCAAAGAGACUGAAGCGCAUUGAUGAGAUUAUCUUUCAAGAGAUUUGAUAAAACAGCUUGUCUUGGCCAAGAGCUUCUCCUUAGGGUGUCUCUGUAAAGGGUCUUUGAAGACAGUGGCAGUUUUGGAAGGAAAUAUUUUCUAGAUGAUAUUGGAUAUAAACUUGUCCUUUGUCUUCACAGAGUGGGCAGGAGGAGUCGUCUUAGCCAUUAAGCUUUGCCCCAGUAUUUCAAGGUGGGUGGAACUCAGAGUGACAUCCCCCAAGUGCAUUGGAUUCUGCUUUUUCCUCUGCUGGAUACUGUAGCACUUGAUAAAUACCUUUAGUUGCUGUGAGUAAACUGGACCAAGAAAGAGGAAAAGCAACUGCAGAAAAAAUUCAUAGAUACUGUUUUUCAGUCAUUUCAGAAAGGUGUAUUGCCUCACUACAUGAAUUCUUGUUGUUCUUCAUUGACCUGAUGUGUUACGGGCUCAUGGUCUACCAGCAGCUCCAUGGGUCUUUUCCCGCACAGACACAAGCAGAGAAUCCAGUGCGUUCACAGCAGCAGCCUCUCCCCUAGACUUUCCCAUGAGACCAAAGCACCAUUCUUAUCGUGCUGAGGAAAAAAGCCACGUUCACCAUUCUCAUUCUGGUGAAUAUGUUGUCUGCUUUUACCCUCUCUCUUUAUUUUAUCUUUUUGGAUAACCCUGAUUAUGAACCCACACCAUGGUCUAAUGAACGCCUCUGAAAAGGUAUUUUCAGGUUUCCCGACAUUCAUCCCUUAGUGCUCUUUGGCAGUGACACUCAGCUCUCUCAGUUUAGCUUUCCUGUUGGGCAAGGAAAACAAAUAUUCUGAGUGUAGCUCCUGGGCUAUAAAUUCUCUCUAGAACACCCUGCCGUUUAUUUAAUCAACUUUAUAUAUUUGUAUGCUCAUGUUUUAUGCCAUUUCAUCUUCCAGAAGAUUUUGACUCAAAAUUGAUAACAGUGAUAAUAACUCUGCUUCAUAUUACAAGUAGAGUAUAAAAACACGAAAGCUACUCAUAAUUAUCCAAAAAUAAUUUUCUAAAAUUAUAUAAUGUUAUUCACUACAGGUUCAGGGAAUUUUAUGAUAAUAUAGAGAAUGUUCAAGAUUUAGGAGUGUAGGUUAUAACAGCACUUUAAUUUAAACGUUAAACUUUAUGUUGACACUUAAAAGACUUAUUUGAAUUUACAAAGCUUAGUGGGGAAAAUAGAUGUUUCAUUUGGAGAGCAAAAGACCUGGGAAUACUUUUGAGCUGUAAAGUCAUAUAUGGAAUUCAAAGACUGAAGGAAGAUCGAUGUGUUUGUGGUAUAGUGUGCGAUGGGAAGAGUGAUAAGAAAAGAAGCAGAGGAAGCAGGUGAAGGCUUUUUUUGCCAGGUAUCAGAGGAUAUCUCAGUGAUGAGAAUGAUCCGAACUUUUUGUAGGGAAGAUGAUGAGUUUAUGGGGGAUUAGUCAGGUGGGAUAAUAAUCAGUGUUGUAUAUGGUAACAAGUGUAAGUAUUCAAUUCAAAUAAAUUUACUUUAUUAAACUCUA
Molecule: long non-coding RNA, 6188 nt
Organism: Balaenoptera ricei (Rice's whale)
Lineage: Eukaryota; Metazoa; Chordata; Mammalia; Artiodactyla; Balaenopteridae
Exons: 2
Source: RefSeq, a predicted model, not a curated record